AUACGUAGGGGGCGAGCGUUGUCCGGAAUGAUUGGGCGUAAAGGGCGCGUAGGCGGCCCGGUAAGUCUGGAGUGAAAGUCCUGUUUUUAAGAUGGGAAUUGCUUUGGAUACUGUCGGGCUUGAGUGCAGGAGAGGUAAGUGGAAUUCCCAGUGUAGCGGUGAAAUGCGUAGAGAUUGGGAGGAACACCAGUGGCGAAGGCGACUUACUGGACUGUAACUGACGCUGAGGCGCGAAAGUGUGGGGAGCAAGCAGGAUUAGAUACCCUGGUAGUCCACACUGUAAAUGAUGAAUGCUAGGUGUAGGGGGUAUCGACCCCUUCUGUGCCGCAGUCAACACAAUAAGCAUUCCGCCUGGGGAGUACGGCCGCAAGGUUGAAACUCAAAUGAAUUGACGGGG
This 397-nucleotide ribosomal RNA is filed under the name uncultured bacterium. RNAcentral describes it as "partial 16S ribosomal RNA". It matches the Rfam family "Bacterial small subunit ribosomal RNA", at positions 523 to 918 of the family's 1533-position model. The record is from RNAcentral.